Molecule: small nucleolar RNA, 76 nt
Filed under: Fundulus heteroclitus (mummichog)
Lineage: Eukaryota; Metazoa; Chordata; Actinopteri; Cyprinodontiformes; Fundulidae
Description: Small nucleolar RNA SNORD2 (ENSFHEG00000016729.1)
Rfam family: Small nucleolar RNA SNORD2
Source: RNAcentral
GAGUGAAAUGAUGCUUUACCAUCUUUCGGGACUUACCCAGCAUAUGGGGAUACUUUUAUUUUUUUACUGAUCACUC